Long non-coding RNA from Helianthus annuus (common sunflower), 571 nucleotides. RefSeq lists it as uncharacterized. The record is from RefSeq and is a predicted model, not a curated record. NCBI's taxonomy places the organism in Eukaryota, Viridiplantae, Streptophyta, Magnoliopsida, Asterales, Asteraceae. The transcript has 2 exons.
GCGAGAACCAGUGUGAACACAUGGCAAUUUUGUAAUUAUAUUAUGUUUAAUAUAAAACACGCUCAUUCCUUUUUUGUCACUGUUCUCCAUUUUUAGGGUUUCAAGGGGUUUCAUCAGUUCACAGUUUUCACAAGUGGCAGAGACGCAUUCACGGUGGUUUCACGGUAGAGUAGAGGCGUUCAUGGUGGUUUUCACGGCGGCGUUCACAUAUUUCACGGUGGUGGCAGUCGGCACAAUGUUUACGGUGGCAUAUAGCGUCUUCUGAUUCAUCAGGAACAUUCAUACACAAUGAAGCUGCUACGAUUGCUGCUGGAAUUCCGUACCCCCCCCUAACGAUGAAACCAAUUCUUAUUCCGAUGAUGAUAAUGAUACUAAUGAUGAUACAUAUGAUGAUUCUGAAUACCCUUCACAUACAAAUGUACAUGAACAACCCCUUAGACGUUUAUCCAGACGUCAUAAUGCACCCAACCAUCAAAAAUUUGAUUAAGUUUGUCGUCAAAAUAUUGAUCAUUUUGUUUUAUUAUUCGUUUUACAUUUAAUCUAAACUGUUUACAUUCAAGUUGCUCACCUA